This 427-nucleotide ribosomal RNA is filed under the name uncultured bacterium. RNAcentral describes it as "partial 16S ribosomal RNA". It matches the Rfam family "Bacterial small subunit ribosomal RNA", at positions 355 to 774 of the family's 1533-position model. The record is from RNAcentral.
UGGGGAAUAUUGGACAAUGGGCGAAAGCCUGAUCCAGCCAUGCCGCGUGUGUGAAGAAGGUCUUCGGAUUGUAAAGCACUUUAAGUUGGGAGGAAGGGUUGUAGAUUAAUACUCUGCAAUUUUGACGUUACCGACAGAAUAAGCACCGGCUAACUCUGUGCCAGCAGCCGAGGUAAUACAGAGGGUGCAAGCGUUAAUCGGAAUUACUGGGCGUAAAGCGCGCGUAGGUGGUUUGUUAAGUUGGAUGUGAAAUCCCCGGGCUCAACCUGGGAACUGCAUUCAAAACUGACUGACUAGAGUAUGGUAGAGGGUGGUGGAAUUUCCUGUGUAGCGGUGAAAUGCGUAGAUAUAGGAAGGAACACCAGUGGCGAAGGCGACCACCUGGACUAAUACUGACACUGAGGUGCGAAAGCGUGGGGAGCAAACA